UACAGAGGUGGCAAGCGUUGUCCGGAUUCAUUGGGCGUAAAGAGCGUGUAGGCGGCCAGGUAGGUCGGUUGUGAAAACUGGAGGCUCAACCUUCAGAGGUCGACCGAAACCAUCUGGCUAGAGUCCGGGAGAGGAGAGUGGAAUUCCUGGUGUAGCGGUGAAAUGCGCAGAUAUCAGGAGGAACACCGGUGGCGAAGGCGGCAUCCUGGACCGGUAUUGACGCUGAGGCGCGAAAGCCAGGGGAGCAAACGGG
Molecule: ribosomal RNA, 253 nt
Filed under: uncultured bacterium
Lineage: Bacteria
Description: partial 16S ribosomal RNA
Rfam family: Bacterial small subunit ribosomal RNA
Source: RNAcentral